CCCUCAGGCAAAGUUGGCUUUAGAUGAAUUUGGCUAUUUAUUUUAGGUAUUUUUAACAUAUAGCUCUUCAACGAUUUUCGGUACUUAUACAUCUUCGGAUUUCAAAUGUUUGGCUUUGAGCGUUCCUGAUGAAGGUAAAUCCAGAAAAGCGCUUCGGACGCAAUAAAUUAUUAAACGUGUUGUUUUAUAUUUUUAAUAUAU
RNAcentral lists this long non-coding RNA (201 nucleotides) under Mytilus galloprovincialis (Mediterranean mussel). Lineage: Eukaryota; Metazoa; Mollusca; Bivalvia; Mytilida; Mytilidae. The record is from RNAcentral.